This 69-nucleotide transfer RNA is filed under the name Ictidomys tridecemlineatus (thirteen-lined ground squirrel). RNAcentral's name for it is "Spermophilus tridecemlineatus (thirteen-lined ground squirrel) tRNA". It matches the Rfam family "tRNA". Rfam says of the family: Transfer RNA (tRNA) molecules are approximately 80 nucleotides in length. Their secondary structure includes four short double-helical elements and three loops (D, anti-codon, and T loops). Further hydrogen bonds mediate the characteristic L-shaped molecular structure. tRNAs have two regions of fundamental functional importance: the anti-codon, which is responsible for specific mRNA codon recognition, and the 3' end, to which the tRNAs corresponding amino acid is attached (by aminoacyl-tRNA synthetases). tRNAs cope with the degeneracy of the genetic code in two manners: having more than one tRNA (with a specific anti-codon) for a particular amino acid; and 'wobble' base-pairing, i.e. permitting non-standard base-pairing at the 3rd anti-codon position. Lineage: Eukaryota; Metazoa; Chordata; Mammalia; Rodentia; Sciuridae. The record is from Rfam by way of RNAcentral.
GGGGUUGGGGCUCAGCGGUAGAGCACUUUUCUGGCAUGUAUGAGGCCCUGAGUUAGAGCCUCAGCCCCA